RNAcentral lists this long non-coding RNA (660 nucleotides) under Homo sapiens (human). Its description in RNAcentral is "HSALNT0382098". Lineage: Eukaryota; Metazoa; Chordata; Mammalia; Primates; Hominidae. The record is from RNAcentral.
CUUUCUUCUUUGUGGCCCAAAUUGAAGAGGACACUGGAUUCCUCUGAUGGAGUUCUGCUCCCUAGAGCUGAUGCUGCAGAUGCUGCUCUCAGGGUCCUUGGGCUUGCCCCCAGCCAAUGGGAAAGAGAGGUCAAGACUGUGCUCAGCUUGGUGGACCUGAGACAUCGAGGAUCCUUCUGAAAGGAUGGCCUGAGGCUUGGAGCGUCAGAGGAAGUCUGGGGCCAACUCUGCCUCUCUGAGCUUCAGUUUUCUCUUCUCUGCAACAAGAGCAUUGGGCUGUAUAAUCCCUAGAAGGAGACCCUUCUGCUCAGUAAGCUCAGUUUAGCUCUGUGUGUGUGCGUGUGUCUGUGUGCAUGUGUGUGUCUGUGUGUGUGUGUGUGCAUGUGUGUGUCCUUUGAGGUCCCUGAGCACUCAAAUGUAGCUAAUUCAGACUCCAUUGAUUCUGAACGUAUAAUUUUUUUGACUUGGACUAGGCUGGAAGCUACUUUUGCAUAAUUCACACACAAAAAAACUUGAUACGCUCAUGAAUAGUGUUGCUGUGAUGAUGGAAGAAUCAUUUCCAUGACACCGGGCUGCCUCUCAUCAAAUGCCUUUCAGAUUCAAGCAACAAAGAUGGAGCUCCCUCUUCCUGCCAGGCACCCCCCCGGCCCUACAACCCCU